CAAGAAGCUUGAAGCCAUAAAUCGAUAAUGUCCACUCCAACCAUGAUGGCACAACCUACUCCUCAACCUGUUCUCGUAUCAGCCCCAUUGUUAGUAACUUUGCAUUCUUUUGAGAAGGUUUUGGAUUUGGUUGGAGCUUGUGUUAUUGAUACGUCAGAUAUGGUUAGCAAUGUCUGCGACUUCCCAGCUCCCCUCCCCCAAAAAAAUAAAAGAUUUGAAUUAUAUAUCCCCUCGUUUUCGUAGAUUAGCGUGAAUAA
Long non-coding RNA from Macadamia integrifolia, 257 nucleotides. RefSeq lists it as uncharacterized. The record is from RefSeq and is a predicted model, not a curated record. The transcript has 2 exons. NCBI's taxonomy places the organism in Eukaryota, Viridiplantae, Streptophyta, Magnoliopsida, Proteales, Proteaceae.